GCUGGGUAUGGUGGCACAUGCCUGUAAUCCCAGCAGCUUGGAAGGCUGAUACAGGAGGAUCGCAAGUUCAAAGCUAACCUCAGCAGAAGGUGAGGUGUUAAGCAACAGUGAGAUCCUGUCUCUA
This 124-nucleotide small RNA is filed under the name Marmota monax (woodchuck). Lineage: Eukaryota; Metazoa; Chordata; Mammalia; Rodentia; Sciuridae. The record is from RNAcentral.